UGGGGAAUAUUGGACAAUGGGCGCAAGCCUGAUCCAGCCAUGCCGCGUGAGUGAUGAAGGCCCUAGGGUUGUAAAGCUCUUUCGCCAGGGACGAUAAUGACGGUACCUGGAUAAGAAGCCCCGGCUAACUUCGUGCCAGCAGCCGCGGUAAUACGAAGGGGGCUAGCGUUGUUCGGAAUCACUGGGCGUAAAGCGCACGUAGGCGGAUCUUUAAGUCAGGGGUGAAAUUCCGAGGCUCAACCUCGGAACUGCCUUUGAUACUGGAGGUCUCGAGUCCGGGAGAGGUGAGUGGAACUGCGAGUGUAGAGGUGAAAUUCGUAGAUAUUCGCAAGAACACCAGUGGCGAAGGCGGCUCACUGGCCCGGUACUGACGCUGAGGUGCGAAAACGCGUGGGGAGCAAACAGGAUUAGAUACCCUGGUAGUCCACGCCGUAAACUAUGGAUGCUAGCCGUUGGGCAGCUUGCUGUUCAGUGGCGCAGCUAACGCUUUAAGCAUCCCGCCUGGGGGAGUACGGUCGCAAGAUUAAAACUUAAAUGAAUUGACGGGGUCAUAGCUGUUUCCU
Molecule: ribosomal RNA, 563 nt
Filed under: uncultured bacterium
Lineage: Bacteria
Description: partial 16S ribosomal RNA
Rfam family: Bacterial small subunit ribosomal RNA
Source: RNAcentral